Molecule: ribosomal RNA, 469 nt
Filed under: uncultured bacterium
Lineage: Bacteria
Description: bacterial SSU rRNA
Rfam family: Bacterial small subunit ribosomal RNA
Source: RNAcentral
GACGAACGCUGGCGGCGUGCUUAACACAUGCAAGUCGAACGGAAAGGCCCUGCUUUUGUGGGGUGCUCGAGUGGCGAACGGGUGAGUAACACGUGAGUAACCUGCCCUUGACUUUGGGGAUAACUUCAGGAAAACUGGGGCUAAUACCGGAUAGGAGCUCCUGCUGCAUGGUGGGGUUGGAAAGUUUCGGCGGUUGGGGAUGGACUCGCGGCUUAUCAGCUUGUUGGUGGGGUAGUGGCUUACCAAGGCUUUGACGGGUAGCCGGCCUGAGAGGGUGACCGGCCACAUUGGGACUGAGAUACGGCCCAGACUCCUACGGGAGGCAGCAGUGGGGAAUAUUGCACAAUGGGCGGAAGCCUGAUGCAGCAACGCCGCGUGCGGGAUGACGGCCUUCGGGUUGUAAACCGCUUUCGCCUGUGACGAAGCGUGAGUGACGGUAAUGGGUAAAGAAGCACCGGCUAACUACGUG